ACAUUCCCUCUGUCAUUAGUGAGAUACCAGCUACUAGCCCCAGCACUGCCUCUUUUAACAACAAAGAAAUCUUUUAUCCUCUAACAGUGUAACUUCUCUGUAGCUGAUCCUGUCUUUGGUUGAAUAUUUUUACAAUUGAAUUUUUGUUAAAAUAAAAAUAAAUGUUUACAAAUGAAAUGAAGCCUCACCCUCAAAGAAACAGAAGUGAUAGGAGAAAGAAGUGAUUCUGGGAACUCCUCAAUGUAAUAAUGAAUUCAACAUUCUUCAAUCAAAUUUAAAAUUUAAUUAUAGGUAAUUGUUCUUUUUUUAAUGAAGUACUUCUGACAUAAUGCUCCAUUAUUAUAUAAUUAGAUAAUUAACUCCAUUAAUCACCUUACAACUUAUUUUUCUCUCUGUUUUCUUUAAAUAUUUAUAUACUGUGCCCAUUUUUAUAGCCACAAAGCUCACCAUAAUCAAGAGUGUGAGUCAGGGUAAGCAAUAAAGGAGCUUGGUGAAGGACAGCCACUGCUAUUUCCCCAUGUACCUCUCAUGUUUCCUGAUUUAUCAAAACUUAAAGGGUUUUCAAAGUACCUUUUAAGUUCUCAAACCUAUGACCGUAAACAUUUCAUCUACCAUCUGCUGACCACCUAAUAUGUGUCAUUCAUGCACGUCUCUAGUCCUGGACUCAAAGGAAAGGGAUCGCAAGAGAUACUAAGGCAUAACCUUUGACCUAAAAGAGCUCCUAAUUUAUUGACAGAGAACCCAUGAAGGAUGCCAAUGGCUCCUUCUCUUAAGAAGUUCACAGUGUAUAAUAGGAAUUCAAAUGUAAAAUCUGUCUCAGAUAGGAGAAACAGAUUUAGGGCCCCAAUAAUGGCAGGAGAGUUUUUCUGGCUGCAUCCAAUCUUCUGGUGACCUUGAUCUGGUUAUGCUUUACAUAUUGAGUUAACUCUGCAUUAUACAUGGGUUGUUACAGGUCUAUGGUAGACAGCUCAUGUCCUUGCCUGCAUUUUUGGUUCAUAUACUAGCACGGCAUGAUACUCAUUUUUCUUAUUUGUAUGUAACCAAAAAAUUAUAUUUAAACUGCACUUACCUUGCCCAGGGACAGUUAUCUAACAUGGCUCUUCAGCCUUCCAUUGUAUAAUCUUAGGCAGGUUACUUAACCUUGUUAUGUCUCAGUUUCCUCACCCGUAAAAUAAGAUAGUCAUAGAUGAGUGAGAAUUUUAGAAAUAUUAAUAUUAUAUUCAUAAGUAAAUAUAAAUCAUUCAGAGUAAUUCCUAGCACACAGUAAAAAUGCAAAAUAAUAGUUAUUAUUUCUAUUCUAUUUUUUUAUUAGCAUUAGCUAGAGAUGCAAUAAAAACAGACUCCAUCAAUAUCUUCUUUCCUAUCCCAAACUCACAUCUGAAUAUUCUUUAAUGAUUUUCAUGGGAGUGAUUCAGGGGGUUGUGUGUAUUAUUAACCUUCUUGUUUUUAAGAGGCGAGAAAGCACAUUUGAACGGACUGUUGUCUUAAAGUAUCUUCUCCAUUAUUUUGAUUGUCUUAAUGGUUAUUACCCAUGGGUAUUGCACUAGUAAACACUCUCAUGACUAAAGCAGUCUUGCAAAAAGUAAUAAAAAAAAGAAAAGGAAAAUGAAAAGGAUGAGCAAGAAGAUAGAAAGGCAACCUUUUCUUAUUGGUGACUUACUGGAACUUUAUUAUUUAACUGCUUCAAAUCUACCCACAUGUGGUUACCCUGGAUUAUGUACAUCUGAUUUGCUGUCAUUGUAGAGAACUCUUCAAACUUUGGCAAGCCACCUGAAACCUAAGUGUUGAGAAUCUCUUAUGGAGGAGCUGUCUGCUUUGUGAGAAAGUUCCUGAAGAAAGUUUUUAGAAAUCUCACCGUUAGCUGGGAAAUCAAAUGAUUAAAUAUUGUAGUAACAAAU
RNAcentral lists this long non-coding RNA (1898 nucleotides) under Lynx pardinus (Iberian lynx). The record is from RNAcentral. Lineage: Eukaryota; Metazoa; Chordata; Mammalia; Carnivora; Felidae.